GGUGUCGAGCGGUCCCGAGCCCCGGUGAGCCCGUGGUGCAGCCGCCGCAGCCUCUGUGGCCCCUCGAAGUGCCGCUACUUUGUUUGGCUUAACCAUUGCGUUUCCACAUUGUGCACUUUGAGGCCGCCUUUAAAGGGUCCUUUUCUUUUUUUUUCCCCUCCCCAGAUGAUUUCUAAUUCAAUAGAUAAACAUGGCUCAGUUUGAAAUACCGGAUAAUUCAAAAACUCUCUGCUCAGCUCCUCGUGUCAUGGUUCUGGGGUUUGAUUUUUUUUUUUAAUUUUUUUUUUCUUUGUAUCCGGAAACAAGUGUUGACAGCAGGUGAGUAACUCCACUGAUGUUCAUUAAGGCAACUUGCAGGCAUUUAUGUCUGAAGCUACACAGAGAUCUCCACAAUUCUCUGGGACCCCACUUGGCAUACUUUGACUGCCUGUGCUCUGACAGUUUUGCAAACCACCCCAUUCCUAUGUAGGGCAGGUCACUUGCUGCUGGAAGCCUGACAGACCACCAGGAGACUGGCACAGG
This is a long non-coding RNA of Manacus vitellinus (golden-collared manakin), 522 nucleotides long. RefSeq lists it as uncharacterized. The record is from RefSeq and is a predicted model, not a curated record. NCBI's taxonomy places the organism in Eukaryota, Metazoa, Chordata, Aves, Passeriformes, Pipridae. The transcript has 3 exons.